UACAUGGGGUGCAAACGUUGCUCGGAAUUAUUGGGCGUAAAGCGCACGUAGGUGGUCUGUUAUGUCAGAUGUGAAAGCCCUCGGCUUAACUGAGGAAGUGCACCUGAAACUGGCAGGCUUGAGUACGAAAGAGGGUCGCGGAAUUCCCGGUGUAGAGGUGAAAUUCGUAGAUAUCGGGAGGAACACCGGUGGCGAAGGCGGCGCACUGGACCACAACUGACGCUGAGGCGCGAAAGCUAGGGGAGCAAACAGG
Molecule: ribosomal RNA, 253 nt
Filed under: uncultured prokaryote
Description: partial 16S ribosomal RNA
Rfam family: Bacterial small subunit ribosomal RNA
Source: RNAcentral